GCGGGCACAGCGUGAGGGCCGCCGUUGCUGGAGUUCAGCUUAGGGAAGGAGGACUCUGAGGAGGCCCCGAGCGGCGGAGCGCUUCGGGGGAGGCGCCCGCGCAGACGCGAGGCCCAUAGCCAGGACCACCACCUAGCUGAUUCUUGAUGACAUUGGUCGGGAAAACUCGCCUUUCACGGCCCGGCCAAGGGGCAUUUGGGUGCUUUUGCUGCCCGUGGCUGUGCUCAGCGUUGUGGGAAGCCCCUGGGAGGCCGAAUGUGCAGGAUCACCGAGGGGAAAGUGAGCUUGACAGUUCUACAGUCUGGGGACGACGGUUUAAAAAUUUAUGCCUUGCAUGCGAUGUGCAGUGGGUGAUGGAAGAACGUCUACAUGGCUUUAAAAUUGGAUUUAAAAGGCAAAUAUUUUAAAUGAAGGAAAACCCAAGAAGUUUACUUGAUUCCUUAUCUUCCAGGAUGCGACUUUUGUUUAUUUAUUUAUUUUAUUUUGAUGGAGUCUCGCUGCCGUCGCGCAGGCUGGAGUGCAGUGACGCGAUCUUGACCCGGGAACCUCCACCUCCCGGGUUCAAGCGAUUCUCCUUCCUCAACCACCCGAGUAGCUGGGAUUACAGGCGUGUGCCACCAUGCCCGGCUAAUUUUUGUGUUUUUAGUAGAGACCGGGGAAGGUAUGGGCCCUCUUUUGAGAAAAAUGCAGAGUGACACUGAAUUUUGUAACUACAUCAGGAGGCUCUUGAACCUUCUGCAGCUCACUCGUGGAGUUUGUAGAGAUGCGUAAUAAUCCGAAGUGUUAAGGAAGAAGGUUCUGUUGAGAAAAAGUUGGAGGGCUGAAAGGGAUGCCUUUCGCUAUUUCGACAUGUGUGGCUGUACCCCAGAGUGCCCUGGCUAACACGCAAAACCAUGAAUUAGGCGGCUUGGCGAGGCUCAGUGGAGGCUGGGGCCGAGAGUCAUGUCAAAGUUUGUGGGGUUAACCUGCACCCAGUGACAGUCAUGGCGAAGUUUGUGAGGUUAACUCGCACCCAGUAACGCUGUUCCAAUGCAAGGUGUGUAUUUGGUGUCAUCCACGGGAAGAGGAAACAGCAAAUUUUCUCAUGGCCUUGGCAGUUCCACAUGAUGGACAUUUCAUAUCUGCAGUUUUCUUCGCAUGAGAUGGCUUUUUUGCACAAAAACACUGGAAUCCAGUGAGCAAGAAUGAUAGAAUGCAAGAUGGAUUUCCACAUGAGGAAGUGUCACGAACAAGCGUUUUGCAUCUCUGUCAGCUGGAUUCCCCCAUGUGUACGUAUGUGAGAACAUGCCGUGUUUCCUGUCUGUAAUGGUAGAGGCAGCCCUGAUACUGGAUUUUCACCUGAGGAUGGAUAGAUCUUCAGGGUUCAAGUGGGUUUGCAUCUGGACUUUAGGGUGGCCCUGUAGGCCCUGUGUGAGAAGCCCCCUUCCCAGUGAACUUUCCCUUGUGUGCCCGCGUGGACAGCCAACAGGGGGAGCAGUGCGAGCGUGAAGGCAGACAGUGGCCUGGCCCAGUCUGAUGGUAAGUGGGCCAGAGGCAGUGAGUACCAUUUCUUGAUCUGACUACUCAAGACAGGCGCUUCCCUAGGUACUUUCACACCUCAUUGCGAGGUACGUGUUGUUCCCAUUUUACAGGUGCAGAAGCUGAGCUGCAGAGGCGUUAGGUACCUGCCUCAUAAGUGGUAGAGACUCCAGUGUCACCCUGCCCCUCACGUUCGGAGCCCCCGAGGGAGGGUCUGCCGGGCAGCUCAGCCCAGCACUCUGUAAGGAAAUCUUCAGUGCCACUGCCCAGGAUGUCUUCCCGGGGAUUGGGCCUGAAUGUCUUGACCAUGCCGUGCUGGAGGUAGGAGGGGUGUCUUCAUAUGGAAGAACUGUACAUAUUUCUUUGGCAGAUGGCUGAACUCUGUGACCCCGGGGCCUGUUUCAGCCUCCUGCUGUCAGAAAGCAGCUGUUUGGGAAGAGGCUGUGAUUCGGCCUUGUUUGAGGGCCGAUACUCUGAAUGGGUGAGGCUUGGAAUCCUCCCUUUGGAACAAAGAAACAUAAUGAUUUUGCUGAAGGUAGAAUUGGGGGACUAGGCAGAGUGGCCUCCUGCCCUCCCUGGGGUGGUUCUGUCUUUUGCAAAGGUGGCUGCAUCCUUAGGGGAAGGUGAGGGGAGAAGCAGGGAGCAUGGAGAGAAGUGGCUUUCGAUUUUCUCUCUCCUUUUGGGGAGUUCCUCCUUAUGUGGCUGGUCUGGUGCAUAGUGUGAUGUAUUCCUGUACGCAACGUUGCCCUGACAGCCAGUCCAAGCUGAGUCUAGAGCUGGCAAGGUGAGCUCCCAGUAGUAAGAGGGUGUGGGCGGCAAGCCACCCAGGCACCGAGGCAAGAGACAGAGGACACGAGCUGUUCCAGUAUAAUAAAAUAUAAAACAAGAAUAGUUAUACCAGAUAUAGAUCUUAGAUAUGAUUAUAUAUGAAUAUCAUUAAUCAUGAGUUUGCAGCAAUUACUUUUUAUUCCAAUAUUAUGAUAAUCCUCGCUCUAUAAUCAUAGCCUAGGAAAAACCAGGCCAUACAGAGGAGCUGAGGGGACAUAGUGAGGUGUGACCAGAAGACAAGAGUGCGAGGCUUCUGUUAUGCCCGGACAGGGCCACAAGAGGGCUCCUUGGUCUAGCGGUGACGCCAGCGUCUGGGAAGACGCCCGUUACCCGGCGGAUCGUGGCCCAGUGGUAGCAAAAGGUGUCAAGGAACAACACUCACUACUUAGCAGACCGGGAAAGGGGCGGGGGGGGGGUCUCCCUUUCCCCGGGGGAGUUUAGAAAAGACUCUGCUCCUCCACCUCUUGUGGAGGGCCUGACAUCAGUCAGGCUUGCCCGUAGUUAUCCGGAGGCCUAACUGUCUCCCUGUGAUGCUGUGCUUCAGUGGUCACACUCCUUGUCUGCCUUCAUGUUCCAUCCUGUACACCUGGCUCUGCCUUCUAGAUAGCAGUAGUAAAUUAGUGAAAAUACUAAUAGUCCCUGAUAUGCAGAAAUAAUGGUAUAAGCUGUCUUUCUCUCUGUCUCCUCUCCCUCUCUGCCUCGGCUGCCAGGCAGGGAAGGGCCCCCUGUCCAGUGGACACGUGACCCACGUGACCUUACCUAUCAUUGGAGGUGACUCACAUUCUUUACCCUGCCCCUUCUGUCUUGUAUCCGAUAAAUAACAGCGCAGUCAGACAUUCGGGGCCACUACCGGUCUCCGCGCAUUGGUGGUAGUGGUCCCCCGGGCCCAGCUGCCUUUUCUCUUAUCUCUCUGUCUUGUGUCUUUAUUUCUACACUCUCUCAUCGCCACACACAGGGAGAGACCCACCGACCCUGUGGGGCUGGUCCCUACAUCUGGCGCUCUGACGUGGGGCUCUCCCUCGCUGUGUGAAGUUGCACCCUGAGUGCGGGAUCAGCGGAGGAGUUCAACGAGAGAUUCCUGAGGAUUGCAGUCUAUAAACUUGGUGGUAAGCUUGAGCACUCAGUUUUCUGGGGACACCAUGGGACAGGCCAGUACAAAGUAUUUGGCUUAUUUAAAUUUUAUAAAAACUCUUCUUAAAGAAGGAGGUGUUAAAGUUUCUACUGAAAAGUUAAUUGAACUAUUUGAGGUUGUAGAUCUUCUUUGCCCUUGGUUUCCGACUGAGGGAACUCUAGAACUUAAAGAUUGGGUUGAGAUUGGCAAACAAUUCAAAAUUGCUCAUAAAGGGGGACAUUUUAUCCCACCCACCAUUUGGUCAAUCUGGGCUUCGGUUCACUCUGUCUUAGACUCCUUACAGACUCAGGAGGACAAUAUGGAGACUGAUCCCUCUUUCCUCUCCUCUGAGGGAGGUCGAGGAAGCGCUCAGCUCUCUUUCCCCUGAGGAUACUACACAAAUUGAGAACGUAAUUUCAAAGGAGGACUUCCACUCUGACAUGCCUGCACCACUUCCACCUACACCAGAGGCUACUGCACCCCCAUUGCCGCUUUAUGAUGAUCUUUUAACUGACCUAAAUAUACUAAUCUCCCCCAAUCAGCAAAACUCAGCUGAAACAUAUCAACAGCCAUUGCAGCCAGACCCUCCUGUCUCUCCUCACUGUUUCAACGCUGCCGCUGUGCAAAUAGCAGAUGAGACCAGGCAGCCUGUAAACGAGUCUAUAAAUUAUGUUUCUAUGCAGCCCGGUACAGAGGCUCCGCUAUAUGAACAGCUCAGAAAAGAGGCUUCCAAUUCUCGGCCCGGUAAUGAGGCCCUCAAUCCUAUUUCUCCUAAUCGGACUCAGUUAGAGUCACAGACUCCCUUGAAGCCCUUUCCUAUAAAUCAGACUCGAGUAGAGUCACAGUCUCCCUUGAAGCCUGGUUCCUUUCCUGCAAAUCGGACUCAGAGUCACAGGCUCCCUUGAAGCCUGGUCCCUUUCCUAUAAAUCAGACUUGGGUAGAGUCACAGGCUCCCUUGAAGCCUGGUUCCUUUCCUGCAAAUCGGACUCAGAGUCACAGACUCCCUUGAAGCCUGGUUCACACUUGCCGUGGCAGCCUGGUUUUCAGGCCCAUGAAAGACCUGCUCAGCAGGUAAUCUGCUGUCACCCUGGCUUUCAGUUUUUUGACUCUCCUUCUAUUCAAAAUUCUACCUCUUUUUCUGCUCCUGGUCCGGUCGCAACUGCUGUUGCCAAUACUACCAUUGCCGCUCAUAAGCAACAAAUUACAUACAUCCCUGAAGAUGACACUCCGCUUAUGAGGGCUAUAGUUCAAGCAAGGGAAUAUGGGGAUCCUGAAACUUGGCAAUUUCCUGUAAUUUUACAACCUCCAGUACCUGCCACCCCAGCAGUACAAAACCACCCACAGCCUGUUGUUGAUCCUGCCCAGCAGGCGGCUGACCCCGCAGCUCAACAAGAUCAAGAGGCUGAUAAUCAAGCCCCUCAGCCCGAAACUCAGGCUGCUCAGGUAAAUAAUCAGCCUCCGCAGUUGCCUGCUCCUGGGGCACAGCCAAUACCUGGCAUUCCCGCUGUUCAGGUGGUAAUUCAGCCUGACCCCAUCCAUCCAGGCCAGGUUCAGCUACGCCCUGCUACAUGGGAAAGUUUUUCUUUUAAAUUCCUCAAAGAUUUUAAAGAAUCAGUGAAACAAUAUGGCACCAACUCUCCUUUUGUCCGUUCCACAUUAAAAGCCUUAGGAGAAGAUAAACGUUUGGUACCCUAUGAUUGGGAAAUUUUGGCAAAAUCAAGUCUUAUCUAAAUCCCAAUAUUUACAGUUCAGGACUUGGUGGGUUGAUGCUGUCCAGGAACGCAUUUGUCUUAGGGCACUAAUCCUCCUGUUAACGUUAUGGCUGACCAGUUACUGGGAAUGGGUCAAUGGGCCGCAAUCCGACACCAAACUAUACUAAAUGAUGAGGUUAUUGAACAACUGCGAAAAUUGUUGCUUAGAUGCUUGGGACAAAAUUCAAGAUGAUGGUAAAGUAUGCCCAUCUUUCACAGCCGUCAGACAGGGACAACAUGAGCCCUACCCAGACUUUAUUACUCGUCUUCAAGACGCAGCAGAAAAGGCUAUUCCUGAUAGCCACGGCCAAAGACUUGUUGUAGAACUUAUGGCUUAUGAACAAGCAAAUCCAGAUGGUCAGGCGGCUGUUUGCCCCGCCAAAGGUAAAAUUCCACCGGGUGGUGAUAUACUCACCUCCUACAUUAAAGCCUGUGAAGGGGUGGGAGGAACUCUCCAUACAGCAACGAUUAUGGCACAAGCUAUGGCCUCUAUUCGAAUGCCUGGACAAUUCUCUGGCCAAUGCUUCAUAUGCGGCCAGAAGGGACAUGCAGAAAGAAAUUGCCCUC
Molecule: long non-coding RNA, 5775 nt
Organism: Homo sapiens (human)
Lineage: Eukaryota; Metazoa; Chordata; Mammalia; Primates; Hominidae
Gene: ERVK13-1
Product: endogenous retrovirus group K13 member 1
Source: Ensembl